CCUACGGGAGGCAGCAGUGAGGAAUAUUGGUCAAUGGACGAGAGUCUGAACCAGCCAAGUAGCGUGAAGGAUGACUGCCCUAUGGGUUGUAAACCUCUUUUAUAUGGGAAUAAAAUGUUCCACGUGUGGGAUUUUGUAUGUACCAUAUGAAUAAGGAUCGGCUAACUCCGUGCCAGCAGCCGCGGUAAUACGGAGGAUCCGAGCGUUAUCCGGAUUUAUUGGGUUUAAAGGGAGCGUAGGUGGAUUGUUAAGGCAGUUGUGAAAGUUUGCGGCUCAACCGUAAAAUUGCAGUUGAAACUGGCAGUCUUGAGUACGGUAGAGGUGGGCGGAAUUCGUGGUGUAGCGGUGAAAUGCUUAGAUAUCACGAAGAACUCCGAUUGCGAAGGCAGUUCACUGGACUGCAACUGACACUGAGGCUCGAAAGUGUGGGUAUCAAACAGGAUUAGAUACCCCAGUAGUC
RNAcentral lists this ribosomal RNA (460 nucleotides) under uncultured bacterium. RNAcentral's name for it is "partial 16S ribosomal RNA". It matches the Rfam family "Bacterial small subunit ribosomal RNA", at positions 338 to 795 of the family's 1533-position model. The record is from RNAcentral.